UGCCCGGUAGCUCAGUGGUAGAGCAGGUGACUGUUAAUCACUUGGUCGCUGGUUCGAUCCCAGCCCGGGCAGCCA
Molecule: transfer RNA, 75 nt
Filed under: Lacunisphaera limnophila
Lineage: Bacteria; Pseudomonadati; Verrucomicrobiota; Opitutia; Opitutales; Opitutaceae
Also listed under: 6 other names
Description: tRNA-Asn
Rfam family: tRNA
About the family: Transfer RNA (tRNA) molecules are approximately 80 nucleotides in length. Their secondary structure includes four short double-helical elements and three loops (D, anti-codon, and T loops). Further hydrogen bonds mediate the characteristic L-shaped molecular structure. tRNAs have two regions of fundamental functional importance: the anti-codon, which is responsible for specific mRNA codon recognition, and the 3' end, to which the tRNAs corresponding amino acid is attached (by aminoacyl-tRNA synthetases). tRNAs cope with the degeneracy of the genetic code in two manners: having more than one tRNA (with a specific anti-codon) for a particular amino acid; and 'wobble' base-pairing, i.e. permitting non-standard base-pairing at the 3rd anti-codon position.
Source: RNAcentral